UGAGUCCUGGGGUGUACGAUACUCUUACUUUUUUGAACCUACAUUUACGUUCAUGGGAUUCCGAUAUUUAUAAGUGGAUGUCGAGCCUCCGUUUGCAGUGGAUGGCUGAAGCUUAUGUGAGGUUGCCCACCUAGCUUAAGCUAGGGCGUCAAAACUGUAGGAAACGGCAUUUUGGGAUUAGA
RNAcentral lists this non-coding RNA (182 nucleotides) under Firmicutes bacterium CAG:882. Its description in RNAcentral is "6S / SsrS RNA". It matches the Rfam family "6S / SsrS RNA". Rfam says of the family: E. coli 6S RNA was the first non coding RNA to be sequenced, but its function was unknown until recently. It consists of 184 nucleotides that fold into an extended hairpin structure with a large single-stranded internal bulge. Lineage: Bacteria; Bacillati; Bacillota. The record is from Rfam by way of RNAcentral.